UGAGGAUCUCCUGCCGAACAAAACAGUAACUGUGCUUGCUCUAACGAGAAGAGCUGACACUGUAACUGCCACGAUGCAGUAGUAUACACCAAUUCGAAUCAGAUCAUCGAAGCCUAGCCCAUUGGUCUAACAAGCUUCUACUUUGGAUACACCAUGAUGUUCUGUCUUGGCCUUGGAAUCCUUUGCGGAGCUGUUGGAUUCUUGGGAUCAAAUCUGUUUGUAAGGAGAAUCUACAGAAACAUCAAGUGCGACUAGACGAA
Molecule: long non-coding RNA, 260 nt
Organism: Raphanus sativus (radish)
Lineage: Eukaryota; Viridiplantae; Streptophyta; Magnoliopsida; Brassicales; Brassicaceae
Exons: 2
Source: RefSeq, a predicted model, not a curated record